UCGGGAAUUUUGCGCAAUGGACGAAAGUCUGACGCAGCAACGCCGCGUGAGGGAUGAAGGCCUUCGGGUUGUAAACCUCUUUUGUCAGGGACGAUGAUGACGGUACCUGACGAAUAAGCCACGGCUAACUACGUGCCAGCAGCCGCGGUAAUACGUAGGUGGCAAGCGUUGUCCGGAUUUACUGGGCGUAAAGAGCGCGCAGGCGGUCGUUCAAGUCGCGUGUGAAAGCCCCCGGCUCAACUGGGGAGGGUCACGCGAUACUGAUCGACUCGAAGGCAGGAGAGGGUAGUGGAAUUCCCGGUGUAGUGGUGAAAUGCGUAGAUAUCGGGAGGAACACCAGUGGCGAAGGCGACUACCUGGCCUGUUUCUUGACGCUGAGGCGCGAAAGCUAGGGGAGCAAACGGGAUUAGAUACCCCGGUAGUCCUAGCCGUAAACGAUGGGCACUAGGUGUUGGUGGUAUCAACCCCGCCAGUGCCGAAGCUAACGCAUUAAGUGUCCCGCCUGGGGA
RNAcentral lists this ribosomal RNA (509 nucleotides) under uncultured Acidobacteriota bacterium. RNAcentral describes it as "bacterial SSU rRNA". It matches the Rfam family "Bacterial small subunit ribosomal RNA", at positions 355 to 879 of the family's 1533-position model. Lineage: Bacteria; Pseudomonadati; Acidobacteriota. The record is from RNAcentral.